GUGCCAGCAGCCGCGGUAAUACGUAGGGGGCGAGCGUUGCUCGGAAUUACUGGGCGUAAAGGGUGUGUAGGUGGCUGGGCAAGUCAAAGAUGAAAUCCCGAGGCUCAACUUCGGAAUUGUCUUUGAUACUGCCCGGCUUGAGGUUGGUUGAGGAGAGCGGAAUUCCCGGUGGAGCGGUGAAAUGCGUAGAUAUCGGGAGGAACACCUGAGGCGUAGGCGGUUCUCUAAACCUAUCCUGACACUGAGACACGAAAGCUAGGGGAGCAAACGGGAUUAGAUACCCCAGUAGUCC
RNAcentral lists this ribosomal RNA (292 nucleotides) under uncultured bacterium. RNAcentral's name for it is "partial 16S ribosomal RNA". It matches the Rfam family "Bacterial small subunit ribosomal RNA", at positions 505 to 796 of the family's 1533-position model. The record is from RNAcentral.